Molecule: long non-coding RNA, 1227 nt
Filed under: Zea mays
Lineage: Eukaryota; Viridiplantae; Streptophyta; Magnoliopsida; Poales; Poaceae
Description: long non-coding RNA (ZMAY_LNC005591)
Source: RNAcentral
UUCAACGAGCUCUUGCUCAACAGUUUCCUCCUGCUGAACCCCCGACUCCUCAAUAGCUUGCUCGUCUACUCGCAUCAAUACAAACAUACAUAAUAUAGCAAAAAUUAACAUCACACCAACCAAUAGAUCAAAAUGCAUAAUAAUAUUCUACUCUGUGUACCGAGAUCAUAGGAACAAGAACCACUAAGUUUGGAGUUAUAUUUAUUUAGUUAUGAAUUUAUGAAGUUAUCAAGUACUUGGAAUAGCAUAACUCAUGUCAAUAUUUUUAGUUCAAGUUUCAUGGCUAAACAAAGUUACUAGUUGACAGACAAUAUUAAUACAAAAUUAUUGCAACUAGAAUGACUCAAUUUGUGGUUAAAAUGAAUUUAAUAUGAAUUAUACAAGUUUCUGGAAUUGUUUUUAAACUAAAAAUCUAUUUUCUAAUUUCUUUUUCACUAUUUUACUGUUCUCUGGACGGCGCAUCAAAUUCUAUAAAGUGCAGGGGCUAUCCCAUAAAUAUUCCUAGACUCAACGAAUAAUGAAUGCGGACGGCGGGUUGGUUUCCUAGAAUCUCAGGGACUAUUUAGCAAAAACGACACAAUUAAGGGGUAUCUCUAAUUAUCGGUCGUAUGAUCCAGAACUAAGGGCCCAGAUUAGAUCUGGUGCAUGCCAAUCCUGCGAGUAAUCCAAACCGUCUGAUCAGAGAUCCGCGACCCGGAUUUAAUUUUACCACGGUCUUUUCGCGUCCAUCCGACCAGGAUCCAAUGGCACAGAAUCAUUUGACCGAAACACUACUGAUGUUACGAUCCUAACCGACGAUCGCUCAUCCAAUGGCCAGAAACUUUUCCCCCAACUCCGAUCAGACCACGACGGCGUACAGGGUUGCCAGCGGCGGUGCCAUCGCCGGCGGUGCUCGAUUCCGCCAUUCUCGCCCCAUUCACUAAUUGAACACGUGCUACCGCACUACUAUACCAUGGCGGAACUGGAGAAGAUGUUCUCACCGUCAAUUGACAGGGCGAAGAGGUUAGUUUGCAGUGGUCGAAGGCGUCGCAACGACGGAGAGCUCCCUUGAAUGCGGUAGUUGAUGACGUUGGUCACUGUUGCGCACCGAGGUUCGGCUGAUGAAGUCCAGUAGCCUGCGCCAAAUCUCCACGGGUCCAGCAACCCUCUCUCCCUCUCGGCACAACACACGGUUCAUCUCUCCCUACGGUGUGACGAUGAUGGCGACAGAAGUCACAAGGUUCUCGG